RNAcentral lists this ribosomal RNA (440 nucleotides) under uncultured bacterium. RNAcentral's name for it is "partial 16S ribosomal RNA". It matches the Rfam family "Bacterial small subunit ribosomal RNA", at positions 338 to 795 of the family's 1533-position model. The record is from RNAcentral.
CCUACGGUGUGCAGCAGUGGGGAAUAUUGCACAAUGGGGGAAACCCUGAUGCAGCGACGCAGCGUGAGUGAAGAAGUAUCUCGGUAUGUAAAGCUCUAUCUGUAGGGAAGAAAAUGACGGUACCUGAUUAAGAAGCCCCGGCUAACUACGUGCCAGCAGCCGCGGUAAUACGUAGGGGGCAAGCUUAAUCCGGAUUUACCGGGGGUUAAGGGAGCGUAGACGGCAGCACAAGUCUGGAGUGAAAGGCCGGGGCUUAACCCCGGAACUGCUGUGGAAACUGUGCAGCUGGAGUGCAGGAGAGGUAAGUGGAAUUCCUAGUGUAGCGGUGAAAUGCGUAGAUAUUAGGAGGAACACCAGUGGCGAAGGCGGCUUACUGGACUGUAACUGACGUUGAGGCUCGAAAGCGUGGGGAGCAAACAGGAUUAGAUACCCGUGUAGUC